AGUAUCACUCUGCAGUGGAAUAAAGUCAGCAGCAACACCAGCUUUGUUCUCCAGUUUAAUGGCACAGAGACAAACAUCAGUGCACCAGAUGGAGAUGGACCGGUGAACCAUACAGUCUCAUUUCUCUUUGCUGGAACUAAAUACACAUUCAUGCUCUUUUCUGUGUUUGAAAACAUCAGAAGCAGUGGAGUACAACUUAGCGCUGUCACCGCUCCCAAAAACGCAGAGGCUGUGAGAGUAUCAGAACAAAAUGAGACCAGCAUCACUCUGCAGUGGAAUAAAGUCAGCAGCAACACCAGCUUUGUUCUCCAGUUUAAUGGCACAGAGACAAACAUCAGUGCACCAGAUGGAGAUGGACCAGUGAACCAUACAGUCUCAUUUCUCUCUGCUGGAACUAAAUACACAUUCAUGCUCUUUUCUGUGUUUGAAAACAUCAGAAGCAGUGGAGUACAACUUAGCGCUGUCACCGCUCCCAAAAACGCAGAGGCUGUGAGAGUAUCAGAACAAAACGAGACCAGUAUCACUCUGCAGUGGAAUAAAGUCAGCAGCAACACCAGCUUUGUUCUCCAGUUUAAUGGCACAGAGACAAACAUCAGUGCACCAGAUGGAGAUGGACCAGUGAACCAUACAGUCUCAUUUCUC
Molecule: long non-coding RNA, 642 nt
Organism: Fundulus heteroclitus (mummichog)
Lineage: Eukaryota; Metazoa; Chordata; Actinopteri; Cyprinodontiformes; Fundulidae
Exons: 3
Source: RefSeq, a predicted model, not a curated record